AGGAGGAACAGCCCUAGUGGCGGGGCAGCUCUGGAAACCUGGAUUCAGCUCCGGCAGGAACUCCGUCUGCAGGGCCUGGAGGCUCCGGGGCGGG
This 94-nucleotide microRNA precursor is filed under the name Canis lupus familiaris (dog). Its description in RNAcentral is "mir-8834 microRNA precursor family". It matches the Rfam family "mir-8834 microRNA precursor family". The record is from Rfam by way of RNAcentral. Lineage: Eukaryota; Metazoa; Chordata; Mammalia; Carnivora; Canidae.